GUUGAUCGCUCGUUGUCGGCCCAGACCGCGUGCUUCCGCCCCGUGGACCCUCCGGGCGUCUCCAGCAUCUCCGCCCCGGCGCACCUCAUCGACCCCGCGGCACGCCCCAGCGCGGACAGCGGCAGGGUCCAAUACCUCGGCGGCAACGUCGUCCAGGUCCUCUUCGGCCACGUCGGCGACGGCCACCUCCUGCUCAGCUACCAUGACCUCCGGGCGGAGGGCCCAUGCACCUGCUGGGACCUCACCAGGAACCCUGAGAUCCAGCGCUUCGUCUGCAACCCCCUCACCGGCCAAAUGCUCCGCCUCCCCGACAUCGGCGGCUGCAGGAAGAUCCUCGUCGUCCACCGCAUGGGCCUCCUCACCCAGGCCGACGGAGGGCUCGGGUGCGGGCCGUCCGACAGGUUCGCCGUCGCCGGCCUCGUCUUCAAUGGCUCCGCCCUUGCGCGGUUCCUCUCCGACCAAGGCAAGUGGAAGACGGUGAUGAUGGGCUUGCCCGGCGGACCGCUGCUCCCGCGCGAGAUGGAGAUGAACCAGGAGACGGUUGCCUUCGACGGCCGGCUGUGGUGGGUCGACCUCACCUUGGGCGCCGUCUCCGUCGACCCCUUUGCUAACCGGCCGGAGAUCCGCUUCGUCGAGCUGCCCAGCGGCAGCGUGCUGCCUGCGCCUGCAUGUGCGGACGAACGAGAUCUCAGCAAAGUCGAGGAACGGGCGCUGUCCAUGAUGGAGCUGGCCAAGCGCCGGCGCAUCGGCGUGAGCGAGGGUAGGCUGCGCUAUGCCGAGGUGACUCCGGGCGGGCCGUUUCUGCUCAGCUGAUAUGCGCUCGGCGACGGCGAGGGCAGCGGCUGGAAGCUGGAGCACCAGGUGUCGCUCAGGAAGGUCUUGGCGGACGGAGGCUACCCGUGGCAGGUGAACUCGGCGCAGUCGUCGCCGCAGAUCGCCCUUGACCCUCUCGACGCCAGUGUCAUUUACAUCAAGGCCGGCGAGCACGUCCUCGUCGUGGACAUGUAGAAUGGGAAGGUGGUCGGGGCCUCUCGGCUUGAAGACGAGUACUUUUCUCUGGUACCAUGCGUGCUUCCACCGUGGCUUGGAUCGAGCCGGAUCCCCACGGCAGGCAACAAAGAUUGCGUGGAAUCGACAGAUGAUAUAUUUAGUUUCGUCUAG
RNAcentral lists this ribosomal RNA (1161 nucleotides) under Triticum aestivum (bread wheat). Its description in RNAcentral is "partial small subunit ribosomal RNA". The record is from RNAcentral. Lineage: Eukaryota; Viridiplantae; Streptophyta; Magnoliopsida; Poales; Poaceae.